This 217-nucleotide long non-coding RNA is filed under the name Nicotiana benthamiana. Its description in RNAcentral is "long non-coding RNA (NBEN_LNC011226)". Lineage: Eukaryota; Viridiplantae; Streptophyta; Magnoliopsida; Solanales; Solanaceae. The record is from RNAcentral.
AAGAUGAUUGCUAAAAUGAACUUGGUAUUCCAAUAUGGGGGAAAUUGAGUAUUUUCACCUGAAAUAGUGUAUGAUCAGAAAUAUUCUGUAGACAUUGAAGCUAGGGUGUUUCCCCAAAUAUUAUUUAUCAUAAAGAGAAAUAUUCUGUACACAUUGAUGCAGCUUCUAAAUGUGAAAGUAGUUUGCGUGGUGAUAUUUUUGAUGCUUUGGAAUGUUC